UACGUAGGUGGCAAGCGUUGUCCGGAAUUAUUGGGCGUAAAGAGAACGUAGGCGGCUACUUAAGUUUGAUCUUAAAGACUGGGGCUCAACUCCAGGAGUGGAUCGAAUACUGGGUGGCUAGAGGACGUCAGAGGAAGGUGGAAUUCCCAGUGUAGCGGUGAAAUGCGUAGAUAUUGGGAGGAACACCAGUGGCGAAAGCGACCUUCUGGGACGUUCCUGACGCUGAGGUUCGAAAGCUCGGGGAGCAAACAGG
RNAcentral lists this unclassified non-coding RNA (253 nucleotides) under uncultured cyanobacterium. Its description in RNAcentral is "contains 16S-23S intergenic spacer region". It matches the Rfam family "Bacterial small subunit ribosomal RNA", at positions 524 to 776 of the family's 1533-position model. The record is from RNAcentral. Lineage: Bacteria; Bacillati; Cyanobacteriota.